This 283-nucleotide long non-coding RNA is filed under the name Ananas comosus (pineapple). Its description in RNAcentral is "long non-coding RNA (ACOM_LNC016676)". The record is from RNAcentral. Lineage: Eukaryota; Viridiplantae; Streptophyta; Magnoliopsida; Poales; Bromeliaceae.
CCAACACGCGAAAAAAUAAUUCACUAAGAGAAAAGAUUACAAGGUGAUUACCGACUCCACGGACUCAACCUCUCUUAACCUCCUAUGAAUCUUCGCGCUACCCUCCGGGUUGUCCACGCCCUCACGUUCGAGUCCACGAACGUCUCCACUUCGAAUCCACGAAGCUUCAAUCACACCGAAUCCACGACGCCACUCGAAUCCACGAGCCAACGAUCCGAAUCCACGAACCGCCUUUGUUCACGCCGAAUCCACGACGCCGUUCAUAAAGAGCAUCAUGAUUAUU